UUGACCCUUCAUCGUCGAUUCUUUUCUUGUAUAUGUCUACUUCUUAAUAUUUUGUUUGCUCAGUGUCACAUUUCGCUUAUAGCGUGUAGGACGUUAUUUCAAUAAUGUGAACGCGUAAAUAUAUUCUUUUUUCUGUUUCUGAUGAGGACGGCAGCGCUGUCGAAACGUAAAAAGAGAGUUUUUUAAUUUUUAACUUCCUUGACUCAGUGUGAUCGAUUACAUCAAAUUCUUACUAUUUAAUACGACUGAGUGA
Leptopilina heterotoma is the source of this 253-nucleotide long non-coding RNA. RefSeq lists it as uncharacterized. The transcript has 2 exons. NCBI's taxonomy places the organism in Eukaryota, Metazoa, Arthropoda, Insecta, Hymenoptera, Figitidae. The record is from RefSeq and is a predicted model, not a curated record.